This 253-nucleotide ribosomal RNA is filed under the name uncultured bacterium. Its description in RNAcentral is "partial 16S ribosomal RNA". It matches the Rfam family "Bacterial small subunit ribosomal RNA", at positions 524 to 776 of the family's 1533-position model. The record is from RNAcentral.
UACGUAGGGCGCAAGCGUUAUCCGGAGUUACUGGGCGUAAAGGGCGUGUAGGCGGUACGUUAAGUCUGGCGUGAAAGCUCUCGGCUAAACCGGGAGAGGUCGUUGGAUACUGGCAAACUAGAGGACGGUAGAGGCGUGUGGAAUUCCGGGUGUAGUGGUGAAAUGCGUAGAGAUCCGGAGGAAUACCAGUGGCGAAGGCGACACGCUGGGCCGUACCUGACGCUAAAGCGCGACAGCAUGGGGAGCAAACGGG